This is a long non-coding RNA of Felis catus (domestic cat), 649 nucleotides long. RefSeq lists it as uncharacterized. NCBI's taxonomy places the organism in Eukaryota, Metazoa, Chordata, Mammalia, Carnivora, Felidae. The record is from RefSeq and is a predicted model, not a curated record. The transcript has 3 exons.
CACUGAGCAGGCGCACUCGUACCCCGGCCCCACCCCUCCGCCGGCGCCGCCUGUGCGCACGCGUGCUUUCUCCUGGUAGCGCGCGCUACCCCCCUCCAACCCUUCCACGUCCUCCCCGGUUCUGGCGGGCCGGCCUAGCGCCAGAAGCCUGCGCUGCCCACCCUGCAAAAUGGCGACGGCAGCCCUUGGCUGUACUAGUGUGCCCCCACGUAAGAUCCUGUGUGGCAGAUGUGACUACCCCCACUCUGGAGACCAGACAACAGUCCAGAAGAGAUGAAGCAAGGUGCCCAAAUGGAAGAAGUGGUUCCCUUCAGGAAUUUGACUAAAGACCUGACUAAAUAUAAGUAGACCAUAAAACAAAUGACCCACAUGGAACAGUAUGGCCAUAGACCACCUACAAUGGAAACAAGCCAAUCAGUAAUGGGCAGCCCCGCACCUAGAGCUAUCAAGCCAAUAAGGGUAGGACGUGAGAAGAAACAAGGUGGAAGGGAAGGGGGGGGCAGCCAAAACCUUAUAAAACAAAGACUCUUGUCUAUUGUCACCGGCAUUCACUUUAGAAUGCCCCCACUUCCCCCUCUCUGUUAAAAGAGCUUUCAUACUAUUUUUCCUUUCUCAUCUUACACUCUAAUAAACUUUUGCCUGCUGCUCA